This 99-nucleotide signal recognition particle RNA is filed under the name Candidatus Fermentibacter danicus. RNAcentral describes it as "signal recognition particle sRNA small type". It matches the Rfam family "Bacterial small signal recognition particle RNA". Rfam says of the family: The signal recognition particle (SRP) is a universally conserved ribonucleoprotein involved in the co-translational targeting of proteins to membranes. Archaeal SRP consists of a 7S RNA and homologues of the eukaryotic SRP19 and SRP54 proteins. RNAcentral also lists the same sequence under 1 other name. Lineage: Bacteria; Pseudomonadati; Candidatus Fermentibacterota; Candidatus Fermentibacteria; Candidatus Fermentibacterales; Candidatus Fermentibacteraceae. The record is from RNAcentral.
CCCGGAGGACCGCGCGGCGGCAGUCCGUGAACCCCGUCAGGACCGGAAGGUAGCAGCGGUAAUCGGGUACUGCCGGGCGAUGCGUCAUCCCCCGGACCG